GGAAGAUCGAUCAGGAAGAGAGAUCCACGAGUGAAGCUACCCACGUCGAUAGAUCUGGUGCCAGCGGAGGAAGACCAGUGGCAGGUCUGGUCUAUAGAGGCGGUGGAAAAACGGCAGAUGAGAAGAACCAGUCGGAAAUGUUGUCCAUCGAUCAAGAAGCUAUCGUUGGGUGAUUUUAAUAUCAUUCUCGCGGAUAUGUUCUAAUGCAAAAUGAAUUAGGCCCAACAUCACGUCUAAAAUGGUUUCAGUGACCAAGACUUUAGAAGAAGCAAUUGGCAGUCGACUGGUAUGUACACUUUAAAUCCACUUUACUCUAAUUUAAAACAUCAACAUCAAGUGUUGUUUGAUGGAAGACAUCAAGGUCUAGACUUAGAAUUUGAUUUUGUGUUAUGUGUUGCCUAAAGUAAGGGUUGAUCUAAAAUUAGGAGAGAAGUAAUAUUUAAUAAGAUUGAAAAAGGUUAAAUAUCUUAAAGUAAAAUCAGUUCUAGAUUUGUUCAUCUAUUUUUCGAAGAAAUCGUGAGAGAUAUUAUAUUCAAUAUCUAAAGAUUUACCAAUAUGGUUCAUUGAUUCAAAUCUUAUGUCUGCAACGUAAAUAAUUUCAAAUCAAGUUGAAAAGUAGAAGUUGAUUGUACAUUCUCAUAUGUGUUCAGUACAAUUUUAGAAUCAUUUCUUAUAUACAACCAUGAAAGAAAAUUGGUACACUGAAGGAAAAAACCACUUGAGGUAAAAAUUAAAAUACAUAAAGAAAGGGAAUUAAUUAUUUGUGUGGCUUUCCUUAUAAGUGAUUGCAUAUAAUGGAAAAUAAUUUUUGGAGUAAAAUUAAUUUAGCAUUUCUUCAUGAAAAACAAACAUGGUGUUUCAUUUUUUGAGUAAAAUUCAUUUUGAAUACAUUUUGCAUUUGUUUUCAAAAUGGUUCAUUGACUAAAUCAUCUAACUAAUGGCAUGAUUUAAUAGAUUUGAAAAAAAAAUCAGUAUAUUACAUUAUGUUAAGUAAAUUAGUGGAUUGAUUAAUGUUGGUUGCUAGAAGAGCUUUUUGUGGUAUAGUAGUUGUUGAUCAUCAAGUAUAAUGGAUUUAAGCUCAACGUUUCAAAUUUUUAUUUAUGGUAUGAGAAUUAAGAAAUUUUAUUUCAUUGCUACAUUUGAGCAUUGUAUUCAAUAUAUAUUUGAUUAGUAUAUAUUAUAAUAUUUCAUGAGUAGCAAAUGAUAUGUGCAAUAAAAAAAUAAUAGUAUUAUUGUAAUUGAAUUGUCUUCCAUACCUUAAAUGGGAUGCUAUUGUGAUCUACUUGAGCAUGUGUAUUAGCAUGUUAGCAUGAAUGAAAAUAAUAUUUCAUGUAUGUUAUAUUUAACAAAGUUUACGCAUAUUAAAUUGUCAUAUUUGGCCAUUAAUUUUCAUGAAGUUGAAAAGUAUUAUUAUUACUUUUUAAAUUGAGUGUGACCCUAUACCAUUAUUUUGAUUAUCACUUAGCUUGUUUGUGGUACGAAAAUAUGUAAAUUCCAUCAUUUUUAUUUGGAAGCUUGUAGAAUUGAUGGUAAUCUGAAAUAUUGUCUAAGCUAUAAAAUAUGUGGAUAUUUUAUAAGAACUUUUCAUGGAUAUAUAAGUUAGAACAACUAUCUCUAUUGGUAUGAGGCUUUUAGGGUCAAAAUAAAUACAUUACCAUACUUUUGUGAAAAUAUUUGCAUAGUUGUUAUCCUUAAUAAGUGGUAUUAGAGUUAUGCCCCUAGUUUAGCUAUGUUGAACAAAGAUGUAGUGGAGCCUCAAAAGUAUGUUAUGGUAUGAUCUAUAGUUGAACUCUGUCAGAUAGGCCGUGUGUCCUAGUGAAGAGGAGUUAGCCUAGACAAGAGUGAGACAAAUGAAUUGCUAUUUGAGGGGAGACUUGGUGAUCCUUUGUUUGAGGGGAGAAAUAUUGGAAAUGCGACCAAAGUUCCACAUUGGUUAGAUAAGGAGAUGAUCAUCACAUUUAGUAGAUAAGGAGAUGAUCAUGGAUAAUAUUUAAUUUCAAUUGAUUAAAAGUACGCAUGUCUAGGAUCUUGAAAAGAGAAAAGUAAGAUUGAUGAUUUAUUGUUGUUAUGUGAUUUAGCAACUUAUGAAGAAACAUUAUGAAUUAAACAUGGAUUUAGUAGAAUUUUUUAAAGGAAAUAAACCACUUAAGUUUAAAUGGAUCUUCAAAUAUUUUGAUGCAUAUUCUCAUAUGACUAAAAUAUUUAAAAUAUCUAUUAUAAAACUCUGAUAGUAUUUAUAUAAUACAUCACAUGGAUAUAAAGAAGUCAUUUACUCAAGUUAUUUGAGCUAAUUAUGUGAAUAUUUGUAAAUAUCCUUUGAUACAUGUAUUUAUGCAAAAUUAUUUGAGCUAAUGGUGUGAUAUACUGAUCUUUGGUACAAACAUAAAUGUAAGUAAUGAUACUAAGUUCUUUAUAUCCUCACAAUUUGAAAUGUAAGAUUUAGGUGAAGGUAAUGUGAUACUUAAUGUUAAGAUAAAGCAAACUAAAAAUGGUUUUUCUUUAUAUUAAUUACACAUUGAAAAAUGCUCCUGUAAGAAUACCUUAUGAUACUAGUAUGGGUCCUAAGAAAAAUAAGGAAGAUGUGUGUUUUGAUCUGAAUAUGCAAAAAUUAUAAGAAUUGUUAUGUUUUUUUUUUAUGAACUAUACUAAACCUAUCAUUGUAUAUGUUCUGAGAAGAUGAAUAGAUAUACACAUAAUCCUGAUAAAAAUCAUUUAAUUACUCUUCGUAUGUUGUGAUUACGUAUGUUGUGAUUGCAUAUUUUGUUAGAAGGGUAGUGUAUGCAAACUGAGUAACAUAGAAUGAUGAAGUACACUUUACUAAUGGAUAUGUGUUCUUAUUGGGUAGAGAAGCUAUUUCAUGGAAGCGUGAAUUUAUUGCUCUGGAAUUAGUAGGACAUUAGUUUGAGUGGCUUAAAAACCAACUGGGAGAUGCACCAUUAUGGGGGACAUUAGUAUGAGUGGCUUAAAAACCUAUGUGGAGAUGUACUAGACAUUAGUAUGAGUGGCUUAAAAGCCAACUAGGAGAUGCAUCAUUGUGAGGGACAUCAGUAUGAGUGGCUUAGAAGCCUACUACAAGAUGUACCAUUGUGGGAGGGCAUUAUACCUAUCUCUUUGCAUUGUGUACCAUUCUACGCUUUAGACAUGGAGCUGUGAACCAAUUGUGAAAGGCGGAUUAUUUCAUUGUAAGGUUUGAGAGGAAUUUUACAGAUCCUCUCACUAAAGACAUAACAAGGAGAGUAAUUCUAGAAUUUUCAACAAGUAUGAGACUCCAACCAUUAUAGUGGUCCAUAGCCCUUUAUCUAAGUGGUCUAUUGUAAUAGACUUGAUGGUCCAUGGCCUUUUAUCUAGAUUGUCUAGGUUGUCUAUUGCGAUAGACUUGAUGGUCCACAACUUUUCAUUUGGAUGGUCCUAGUACGGACUUGAUUGACAAAACUAAAAUAUUUAAAAAUUCCAUAGCUCUUCCUUUAGGUGGUCCUAGCAUGGACUUGAUGGAUAAUGGUAAAAUUUUCAUAGCUCAGUUUUUGAAUGGUUUGUCUUUGACAGACUUGAUGGAGUUGGUCUCCUGGUAUGGAUUAUAUAUGUCAUAGCUCAGUUUUGAACGGUCUAUUGCGAUAGACUUGAUGAAGCAAUUAAUGUGAUUGUGAAGGUGUGACCGCCUUCUAUGGAAAAGUUUAAAGGUAUUUUUCUAGAGCUUUCACGUUGAUUCGAGGUUCUAUGUGCAUGGCUUUAAAUAGCACGCUCUUAUCACGGAAUCGAUAGAAAUUUAAGGAAUGAAACGUAUUGUAUGGGUCUCGACCAUAGUUAUUGAAAAUUCAAGAGGUAACUCACUCUCUCUAAUCAACUUGUUGCUCUACUUCACUAUGUAUUAAUUCAUAUUGAAAGAUGUUGAGGUUUAA
Molecule: non-coding RNA, 3896 nt
Organism: Benincasa hispida (wax gourd)
Lineage: Eukaryota; Viridiplantae; Streptophyta; Magnoliopsida; Cucurbitales; Cucurbitaceae
Source: RefSeq, a predicted model, not a curated record